AGUGCGGAAUUUUAGAUAAUGGAGGGAACUCUGAUCUAGCGACGCCGCGUGCAGGAAGAAGGUCUUCGGAUUGUAAACUGCUGUGGUAAGGGAAAAAUGCUAUGUAGAGUGGAAAGCUACAUAGAGGGAUGGUACCUUACUAGAAAGCCCCGGCUAACUACGUGCCAGCAGCCGCGGUAAUACGUAGGGGGCGAGCGUUACCCGGAAUCACUGGGCGUAAAGGGAGCGUAGGUGGCCUAACAUGUCAACUGUGAAAACCCGGAGCUCAACUCCGGACUUGCAGUUGAAACUGGUAGGCUUGAGGACGGUAGAGGAAGACGGAACUGCCAGUGUAGGGGUAAAAUCCUUAGAUAUUGGCAGGAACGCCGGUGACGAAGGUGGUUUUCUGGGCCGGUUCUGACACUGAUGCUCGAAAGCCAGGGGAGCGAACGGGAUUAGAUACCCCGGUAGUCCUGGCCCUAAACGAUGUUCACUAGGUGUGGGGAGCGGAAAGCUCUCCGUGCUAAAGCUAACGCGAUAAGUGAACCGCCUGGGGAGUACGCCCGCAAGGGUGAAACUCAAAGGAAUUGACGGGGACCCGCACAAGCGGUGGAGCGUGUGGUUUAAUUCGAUGCUAAGCGAAGGACCUUACCAAGGUUUGACAUGCUAAUGGUAGUGAAUUGAAAGAGGAACGACCACACUAUGUGUGGAGUUAGCACAGGUGGUGCACGGCCGUCGUCAGCUCGUGUCGUGAGGUGUUGGGUUAAGUCCCGCAACGAGCGCAACCCCUGCUCUUAGUUACCAGCGGUAAGGCCGGGUACUCUAAGAGGACCGCCGCCGACGAGGCGGAGGAAGGGGGGGAUGAAGUCAGGUAUCGUGCCCCUUAUAUCUUGGGCGACACACGCGCUACAAUGGGUUGGACAGAAGGGACCAAGACAGCGAUGUGGAGGAAAUCCUCAAACCAACCCCCAGUUCAGAUUGCAGGCUGAAACCCGCCUGCAUGAAGCCGGAAUCGCUAGUAAUCGCAGAUCAGCCAAGCUGCGGUGAAUACGUUCCCGGGUCUUGUACACACCGCCCGUCAAGCCACCCGAGUUGGUAACACCUGAAGAUGAGUAUCCUAACCGAAAGGAGGGAGCUUGUUUAGGGUGGGAUUGGCAAGGGGGGCU
This 1145-nucleotide ribosomal RNA is filed under the name uncultured bacterium. Its description in RNAcentral is "bacterial SSU rRNA". It matches the Rfam family "Bacterial small subunit ribosomal RNA", at positions 353 to 1482 of the family's 1533-position model. The record is from RNAcentral.